CCUACGGGUGGCAGCAGUGGGGAAUAUUGGGCAAUGGGCGCAAGCCUGACCCAGCAACGCCGCGUGAAGGAAGAAGGCUUUCGGGUUGUAAACUUCUUUUAUCAGGGACGAAGCAAGUGACGGUACUUGAUGAAUAGGCCCCGGCUAACGACGUGCCAGCAGCAGCGGUAAUACGUAGGUGGCAAGCGUUGUCCGGAUUUCCUGGGUGUAAAGGGCGUGUAGGCGGGAGUGCAAGUCAGAUGUGAAACCUAUGGGCUAAACCCAUAGCCUGCAUUUGAAACUGUACUUCUUGAGUGCUGGAGAGGCAGACGGAAUUCCGGGUGUAGCGGUGAAAUGCGUAGAUAUUAGGAGGAACACCAGUGGCGAAGGCGGAUUGCUGGACAGUAACUGACGCUGAGGCGCGAAAGCGUGGGGAGCAAACAGGAUUAGAUACCCCUGUAGUC
This 443-nucleotide ribosomal RNA is filed under the name uncultured bacterium. RNAcentral's name for it is "partial 16S ribosomal RNA". It matches the Rfam family "Bacterial small subunit ribosomal RNA", at positions 338 to 795 of the family's 1533-position model. The record is from RNAcentral.